AUUGAACGCUGGCGGCAGGCCUAACACAUGCAAGUCGAGCGCGAAAGGCCUUCGGGUCGAGUAGAGCGGCGGACGGGUGAGUAACGCGUAGGAAUCUACCUGGUAGUGGGGGACAACUUGGGGAAACUCAAGCUAAUACCGCAUACGCCCCAAGGGGGAAAGCGGGGGACCUUCGGGCCUCGCGCUAUCAGAUGAGCCUGCGUAGGAUUAGCUAGUUGGUGAGGUAAAGGCUCACCAAGGCGACGAUCCUUAGCUGGUCUGAGAGGAUGAUCAGCCACACUGGGACUGAGACACGGCCCAGACUCCUACGGGAGGCAG
RNAcentral lists this ribosomal RNA (318 nucleotides) under uncultured Pseudomonadota bacterium. Its description in RNAcentral is "bacterial SSU rRNA". It matches the Rfam family "Bacterial small subunit ribosomal RNA", at positions 30 to 351 of the family's 1533-position model. The record is from RNAcentral. Lineage: Bacteria; Pseudomonadati; Pseudomonadota.